RNAcentral lists this long non-coding RNA (750 nucleotides) under Eucalyptus grandis. RNAcentral's name for it is "long non-coding RNA (EGRA_LNC000575)". Lineage: Eukaryota; Viridiplantae; Streptophyta; Magnoliopsida; Myrtales; Myrtaceae. The record is from RNAcentral.
ACCACCACCAGCCCCACUGCCGAGCAGCUACAUCUCCUCCUCCCUUUUCUUUUCCUUUCUUUUUUUCCUUUUCUUUUCACCUCAAAACUACUUUGCAAAAUAUACACAAAAAUGAGUUCCCAAACACACUUUGCAUUCCCCAAAUGUCCAUUCACUCAAGGAUACUUGGGGAAAUGCAAAGCCAUUUCCCCAAAGUUGAACCAAACGGGACCUUCGACUCUUAAAGAUUUUUAUGAUUCUUCUGUAAGUCGUAUAAGCUGGUGGGUUCACUACCUAGGUUCCACCCCCUUUAAGGGUUCAAGAUAUGGAGACGAUGUGCGCGGAAUGCGGAAGGGAGCCCCAAAAAAGCUCCCUCAGAUGUCAAAAUUAGGUGGAAUUCCACCUAUCUGAUGUUGCAGAAGGCCUGAAUUCAGAUGGAUGUCUUGACCUCGUUUUCUUUCCAUUUUUACAGGUUGAUUGGAGGGUUGCCAAACGAUUCAAGCACCUCCUGGAGGUGUUCAACGACGCCACAGAUGUGCACUAAAAAGACAUCAGGCUCUACCAGAAAGUUUAUUAAAUAAAAGAACAUUAAAGCUAGUGACUCAUCUAGGGGGCAUAAUGAGGAAUACAUACAUACAUACAUAUAUGCAUGUUUAAAAGUGUGUACAUAUGUCAUGUAUAUAUCUGGUAUGCCAGGCAAUUGAUAAACAUUAUCCAGGUAUUAUACCCAUUUAUAUUAGAGAUUGAUGGAUGGAUGAUUCCCAAAGGUUC